AGGAUUAACGCUGGCGGCGUGCCUGACACAUGCAAGUCGAACGAGGCCGCAAGGCCGAGUGGCGGACGGGUGAGUAACACGUGACCAACCAACCUCGAAGUUGGGAAUAGCUCUGCGAAAGUAGGGGUAAUACCGAAUGUGGCCCAGGGCGGGCAUCCGCCUUGGUCUAAAGAUUCAUCGCUUCGAGACGGGGUCGCGGCCUAUUAGCUUGUUGGUGAGGUAACGGCUCACCAAGGCGAUGAUGGGUAGCUGGUCUGAGAGGACGACCAGCCACACUGGGACUGAGACACGGCCCAGACUCCUACGGGAGGCAGCAGUGAGGAAUCUUCCGCAAUGGGCGAAAGCCUGACGGAGCAACGCCGCGUGUGGGAUGAAGACUCUAGGGUUGUAAACCACUGUCGGAGGGGACGAUCGUGACGGUACCCUCAAGAAACGCCCGGCUAACUACGCGCCAGCAGCCGC
RNAcentral lists this ribosomal RNA (462 nucleotides) under uncultured bacterium. Its description in RNAcentral is "SSU rRNA". It matches the Rfam family "Bacterial small subunit ribosomal RNA", at positions 26 to 518 of the family's 1533-position model. The record is from RNAcentral.